Molecule: ribosomal RNA, 497 nt
Filed under: uncultured bacterium
Lineage: Bacteria
Description: partial 16S ribosomal RNA
Rfam family: Bacterial small subunit ribosomal RNA
Source: RNAcentral
GAUGAACGCUGGCGGCGUGCCUAAUACAUGCAAGUCGAGCGAACAGACGAGGAGCUUGCUCCUCUGACGUUAGCGGCGGACGGGUGAGUAACACGUGGAUAACCUACCUAUAAGACUGGGAUAACUUCGGGAAACCGGAGCUAAUACCGGAUAACAUGUUGAACCGCAUGGUUCAACAGUGAAAGACGGUUUUGCUGUCACUUAUAGAUGGAUCCGCGUCGCAUUAGCUAGUUGGUAAGGUAACGGCUUACCAAGGCAACGAUGCGUAGCCGACCUGAGAGGAUGAUCGGCCACACUGGAACUGAGACACGGUCCAGACUCCUACGGGAGGCAGCAGUAGGGAAUAUUCCGCAAUGGGCGAAAGCCUGACGGAGCAACGCCGCGUGAGUGAAGAAGGUCUUCGGAUCGUAAAACUCUGUUAUUAGGGAAGAACAAAUGUGUGAGUAACUAUGCACGUCUUGACGGUACCUAAUCAGAAAGCCACGGCUAACUACGUG